Molecule: non-coding RNA, 160 nt
Filed under: pig gut metagenome
Source: RNAcentral
CAUUGUGAGGUGGAAUCUGAAGGAAGCUUUAGGCAAACAUCUGACCCAACGUACAGAAACUUGAUGCCAAGGCUUGUGAGAGUGGAUAAAUCUGCAAAACAAGAUAAAGUUUCUCCGUGAAAUAAAAUCCAUUACCAAACGCAGCAACGGCAAAGGCUUC